Molecule: ribosomal RNA, 437 nt
Filed under: Leptotrichia sp. oral taxon 215
Lineage: Bacteria; Fusobacteriati; Fusobacteriota; Fusobacteriia; Fusobacteriales; Leptotrichiaceae
Description: bacterial SSU rRNA
Rfam family: Bacterial small subunit ribosomal RNA
Source: RNAcentral
AGAAUGCUUAACACAUGCAAGUCGAUGGGAAAGUGGUGCUUGCACCAUGGUACCCAUGGCGGACGGGUGAGCAACGCGUAAGGAACUUUGCCUGCGGGACCGGGAUAACAGCAGAAACUUGCUUGACAAGACCGGAUAAGGUCAUUAAGCUGCAUAGCUUAGUGAUGAAAGGAGACGCCUGCGGAGAGCCUUGCGUCCUAUUAGCUAGUUGGAGGGGUAACGGCCCACCAAGGCGAAGAUAGGUAGCCGGCCUGAGAGGGUGGACGGCCACAAGGGGACUGAGAUACGGCCCUUACUCCUACGGGAGGCAGCAGUGGGGAAUAUUGGACAAUGGGGGCAACCCUGAUCCAGCAAUUCUGUGUGCACGAAGACGGUUAUCGGAUUGUAAAGUGCUUUCAGCAGGGAAGAAGGAAGUGACGGUACCUGCAGAAGAAGCG